Long non-coding RNA from Lolium rigidum, 485 nucleotides. RefSeq lists it as uncharacterized. NCBI's taxonomy places the organism in Eukaryota, Viridiplantae, Streptophyta, Magnoliopsida, Poales, Poaceae. The record is from RefSeq and is a predicted model, not a curated record. The transcript is spliced from 2 exons.
GGGGACGGUGCCGGCGCCGUCGGCGUCGGAAGAUCGGAGUGCAGCCGUCGUUGAUCGCCGGACGCACAUUUCUACACCUCACCCGUCUCGGCCGCCAUUCUGAUUACUUAGCUUCUGGACGACAUGGGUGCUGAGUCUGGUCUGUAGAAAAGCUAUGUUAAGUGGGAUGAAGCUAACCAAGAUAUAAUUAUGGGGAAACUGGUCUGUAGUCGAGAAGAUAAGCACAUGAAGAGAGAAGAUAGGAAGAGGUGGCCACAUAAUCUCACUCUUGCUGGGUGUCGAGCCAAAUUUGUCGUUGCAAGAGUCAAGAAAAUGGGUCUGUGGUCUGUGAAGGAUUUCGUCGAUGAGCACACCCAUCCUUUUCAAUAAUACAUAAAGUAGAUUGCAAAGCUGAAUAGUAAUACACAUUUUAUGUUCUGCAAGAACAAAGAAAGAGUUAAUUUGACAACCUGGAUAUAUUGACGUACAUGUAAUAUUAUGCUGAA